UAUAGGUAAAAACUAACUUUCGGAACUUAAGUUCUGAGGAAAGUCCAGCCACUGCAAAAAAAGUCACUUUUGCAAGAAAGAACUUGAAAAAGUUGGCAACUGCUCAGAAACGAUAUCUCCUAUGGGUAGGAUGAUAUUGGCGAAAUUUCCUGAGAAGGAAAUGAGCUAACCCAAAGACGUUCCUAUAGGAUAGAUUGAAACGGCAAGUCCUGGCUAGUGCAAGUCUUUUACAGACGCUUAGUAAAAUGUUAGUAUGAAUUAUUCCUUUUAAGGAAAUUCAACAGAAGCUGGCUUACAAUUUAUCUAUA
This 308-nucleotide RNase P RNA is filed under the name Candidatus Woesearchaeota archaeon. RNAcentral's name for it is "RNase P RNA component". It matches the Rfam family "Archaeal RNase P". Rfam says of the family: Ribonuclease P (RNase P) is a ubiquitous endoribonuclease, found in archaea, bacteria and eukarya as well as chloroplasts and mitochondria. Its best characterised activity is the generation of mature 5'-ends of tRNAs by cleaving the 5'-leader elements of precursor-tRNAs. The record is from RNAcentral. Lineage: Archaea; Nanobdellati; Candidatus Woesearchaeota.